This 285-nucleotide unclassified non-coding RNA is filed under the name uncultured fungus. RNAcentral's name for it is "partial contains small subunit ribosomal RNA, internal transcribed spacer 1, and 5.8S ribosomal RNA". The stretch from base 1 to 73 matches the Rfam family "Eukaryotic small subunit ribosomal RNA", at positions 1759 to 1831 of the family's 1831-position model. Lineage: Eukaryota; Fungi. The record is from RNAcentral.
GCAAACUUGGUCAUUUAGAGGAAGUAAAAGUCGUAACAAGGUUUCCGUAGGUGAACCUGCGGAAGGAUCAUUAUUGAACAAAACGCGGAGGGCGCUUCGGCGCCCCCCUCGUCCCCACUCCUUGCUUAUGCGUACCUUUUGUUUUGCUUCCUCGGCGGGGACGCUCGCCGGCGGAUAGCCCAUUUCAAACCCUUUGCAGUUGCAAUCACUUCUGAUGUGAAAUUUGAAUAAAUCACAACUUUCAACAACGGAUCUCUUGGUUCUGGCAUCGAUGAAGAACGCAGC